AAUUCGAUUAGAGUUUGAUCAUGGCUCAGGACGAACGCUGGCGGCGCGCCUAAAACAUGCAAGUCGAACGAGAAGCCCGGGCUUGCCCGGGUGGACAGUGGCGAACGGGUGAGUAACACGUGAGGAACCUGCCCCGAAGACCGGGACAACACCGGGAAACCGGUGCUAAUACCGGAUGCCCUCGCUGGAUCGCAUGGUCCGGCGAGGAAAUGGAUUCCGCUUCGGGAUGGCCUCGCGGCCUAUCAGCUUGUUGGUGAGGUAACGGCUCACCAAGGCGACGACGGGUAGCUGGUCUGAGAGGAUGUCCAGCCACACUGGGACUGAGACACGGCCCAGACUCCUACGGGAGGCAGCAGUUAGGAAUCUUGCGCAAUGGACGAAAGUCUGACGCAGCAACGCCGCGUGCGGGAAGAAGGCCUUCGGGUUGUAAACCGCUUUCAGCAGGGAAGAGGGCGAGCAGGUUAAUAGCCUGUCAGCUGACGGUACCUGCAGAAGAAGCACCGGCCAACUACGUGCCAGCAGCCGCGGUAAUACGAAUCACUAGUGAAUUCGCGGCCGCCUGCAGGUCGACCAUAUGGGAGAGCUCCCAACGCGU
This 595-nucleotide ribosomal RNA is filed under the name uncultured Actinomycetes bacterium. Its description in RNAcentral is "bacterial SSU rRNA". It matches the Rfam family "Bacterial small subunit ribosomal RNA", at positions 1 to 604 of the family's 1533-position model. Lineage: Bacteria; Bacillati; Actinomycetota; Actinomycetes. The record is from RNAcentral.